RNAcentral lists this ribosomal RNA (495 nucleotides) under uncultured bacterium. Its description in RNAcentral is "partial 16S ribosomal RNA". It matches the Rfam family "Bacterial small subunit ribosomal RNA", at positions 28 to 507 of the family's 1533-position model. The record is from RNAcentral.
GACGAACGCUGGCGGCGUGCCUAAUACAUGCAAGUAGAACGCUGAAGGAGGAGCUUGCUUCUCUGGAUGAGUUGCGAACGGGUGAGUAACGCGUAGGUAACCUGCCUGGUAGCGGGGGAUAACUAUUGGAAACGAUAGCUAAUACCGCAUAAGAGUAGAUGUUGCAUGACAUUUGCUUAAAAGGUGCAAUUGCAUCACUACCAGAUGGACCUGCGUUGUAUUAGCUAGUUGGUGGGGUAACGGCUCACCAAGGCGACGAUACAUAGCCGACCUGAGAGGGUGAUCGGCCACACUGGGACUGAGACACGGCCCAGACUCCUACGGGAGGCAGCAGUAGGGAAUCUUCGGCAAUGGACGGAAGUCUGACCGAGCAACGCCGCGUGAAUGAAGAAGGUUUUCGGAUCGUAAAGCUCUGUUGUAAGAGAAGAACGAGUGUGAGAGUGGAAAGUUCACACUGUGACGGUAUCUUACCAGAAAGGGACGGCUAACUACGUG